AUGACUAAUAGUGGGAGCCCUGUAAAAGGGCAGCUGGGAAGAUUGUCACAAGCACAAGCGGGAGACAGGGGGCAGACAUCCAGAGGAAGUGGUUUUCCUGAAGGCUUGCUAAGAGCACCAGAGGUUCUGGGAACACUGAGGACGCCGUGGGAAGUCAAAUUCAGCCUGAUUUCCAUUGAAGGCCAUGUUGUUGUGGCUUCAAGACAAGGCUUGAAAGCUCUCCUGAACUUCGGGACACAGGUGCCAGGCUCCCAAACAACUGAGUCCACCUUCGAGGAUCAGAAGGGAAAGCAAGAGCAGAAGCACUUGGUCCGUUGCAAAGGGGAGGCUGCUGGCCUGGGGACAGAGAGGAGACACGACAAGUGCCGAGAACCAGAAUCAGAAAAUCAGCCAAAGACAGAACCAAAAGGCAAACGAGAACUUUUGCUUUCAGGAAAAAGAGGAGGAAGGUGCCAUCUCUCUGAUUUUCCAUUUCUUGUGGGAGCUGCUUUUAAAGAUUUGCAAAUUCUCUACAUCUGUGACCCUCAGACCUGUAGCUACCAAAGGAGGGGGAACAAAUUAGGAGAUCGGGAUUAACAUACAUAUAUACACUACUAUGUAUAAAAUUGAUAAUUAGUGAGAGCCAGCUGUACAGCACAGGGAACUCUACUCAAUGCUCUGUGGUGACCUAAAUGGGAAGGAAAUUUAAAAAAAAGAAUGAUAUGUGUAUACACAUAACUGAUUCACUUUGCUCUACAGCAAAAACACAGCAUUGUAAAGCAACUAUAUCCAAGAAUUUUUUUUAAAGAAAAUAUUAGCAAAUUAUCUACACUUAAUUAAAUGAAUGAUCUGAAAAACAAUAUACCACCUGACCUGAUACUGAUAAAGUUGCACAUUAGAGGGGAAGGAGAAGGAUGUAUAGGAUGGAUGUACAUGAAGGGCCUUAAAAGCUCUGCUUGAAGGACAAAAAUGUCCACAGAAUUCAGUUAUGGUAAAACUCAAAAAGAGUCAUGAAA
Molecule: long non-coding RNA, 995 nt
Filed under: Bos indicus x Bos taurus (hybrid cattle)
Lineage: Eukaryota; Metazoa; Chordata; Mammalia; Artiodactyla; Bovidae
Description: lncRNA (ENSBIXG00005003166.1)
Source: RNAcentral